Molecule: ribosomal RNA, 460 nt
Filed under: uncultured bacterium
Lineage: Bacteria
Description: partial 16S ribosomal RNA
Rfam family: Bacterial small subunit ribosomal RNA
Source: RNAcentral
CCUACGGGAGGCAGCAGUGAGGAAUAUUGGUCAAUGGACGAGAGUCUGAACCAGCCAAGUAGCGUGAAGGAUGACUGCCCUAUGGGUUGUAAACUUCUUUUAUAUGGGAAUAAAACGUUUCACGUGUGGGAUUUUGUAUGUACCAUAUGAAUAAGGAUCGGCUAACUCCGUGCCAGCAGCCGCGGUAAUACGGAGGAUCCGAGCGUUAUCCGGAUUUAUUGGGUUUAAAGGGAGCGUAGGUGGAUUGUUAAGUCAGUUGUGAAAGUUUGCGGCUCAACCGUAAAAUUGCAGUUGAAACUGGCAGUCUUGAGUACAGUAGAGGUAGGCGGAAUUCGUGGUGUAGCGGUGAAAUGCUUAGAUAUCACGAAGAACCCCGAUUGCGAAGGCAGUUCACUGCACUGCAACUGACACUGAGGCUCGAAAGUGUGGGUAUCAAACAGGAUUAGAUACCCGAGUAGUC